AUGGCUGUCGUCAGCUCGUGUCGUGAGAUGUUCGGUUAAGUCCGGCAACGAGCGCAACCCCUGUCUUUAGUUGCCAUCAUUUAGUUGGGCACUCUAAAGAGACCGCCGGUGAUAAGCCGGAGGAAGGUGGGGACGACGUCAAGUCCUCAUGGCCCUUACGGGAUGGGCUACACACGUGCUACAAUGGCAGUGACAAUGGGUUAAUCCCUAAAAACUGUCUCAGUUCGGAUUGGGGUCUGCAACUCGACCCCAUGAAGUCGGAAUCGCUAGUAAUCGCGUAACAGCAUGACGCGGUGAAUACGUUCCCGGGCCUUGUACACACCGCCCGUCACACCAUGGGAAUUGGUUUUACCCGAAGACUGUGUGCCAACCUUAGGGAGGCAGCAGGCCACGGUAGGAUCAGUGACUGGGGUGAAGUCGUAACAAGGUAGCCGUAGGGGAACCUGCGGCUGGAUCACCUCCUUUCUAAGGAUGUCUUUAGUAUUGAUGUACUUAGGUGCUUUAAUCGUAAGACCACUUAGCAGCCUAUCUAUUAGGCAUAAUUGAUCAAACCCCCCUCUUAUCUCUUCAAAUCAUUUAGGUCGAGCUAUCGACUUAAGCAUCAGAACAAACUUUUUCUAAGUUAAAGUGAUUGUCUUGGGGUCGGUAGCUCAGGUGGUUAGAGCGCACGCCUGAUAAGCGUGAGGUCGGAGGUUCAAGUCCUCCUCGACCCACCAUUUUCUUGUUCUUAAAAAAGGGGCGUUAGCUCAGAUGGGAGAGCACCUGCUUUGCAAGCAGGGGGUCAUCGGUUCGAUCCCGAUACGCUCCACCAUAUUUAGAUAUGAUUGAUGAAUAUUUUUUUUAAAUAUUCAUUUGUCUUAUGUAAGGCAAAAUUGACAUUGUUAAGAGAGUAAUACACGAGACGUUUUUGUGGGUCAUCCAAGUGCGGAUGUUCUGGGAAGCACUGAAAAGUGUUUCAACAAAAACAGUCUUUCCAAGUCUAAAUAUAACUGACCGAGAAGAUUUCAUUUAGUGUUUAAUAUCACUUUUGAAGUCUUUUUAUUUAUUUGUUAUUAUCAAUUGAUAAUGACUUUCGCUCUGGUAGUUGAUCUAUUUUAUCUUCUACUGGAUCGAAUCAAGCGCAAAAAGGGCGUUUGGUGGAUGCCUAGGCAAUAAGAGGCGAUGAAGGACGUGAUACUCUGCGAAAAGCCAUGGGGAGCUGAGAAUAAGCUUUGAGCCAUGGAUGUCCGAAUGGGGAAACCCGG
This 1244-nucleotide small RNA is filed under the name uncultured bacterium. Its description in RNAcentral is "bacterial SSU rRNA". The stretch from base 1 to 465 matches the Rfam family "Bacterial small subunit ribosomal RNA", at positions 1045 to 1533 of the family's 1533-position model. The record is from RNAcentral.